RNAcentral lists this ribosomal RNA (492 nucleotides) under uncultured bacterium. Its description in RNAcentral is "partial 16S ribosomal RNA". It matches the Rfam family "Bacterial small subunit ribosomal RNA", at positions 29 to 507 of the family's 1533-position model. The record is from RNAcentral.
AGUGAACGCUGGCGGUAGGCCUAACACAUGCAAGUCGAACGGCAGCACAGUAAGAGCUUGCUCUUACGGGUGGCGAGUGGCGGACGGGUGAGGAAUACAUCGGAAUCUACUUUUUCGUGGGGGAUAACGUAGGGAAACUUACGCUAAUACCGCAUACGACCUACGGGUGAAAGCAGGGGAUCUUCGGACCUUGCGCGAUUGAAUGAGCCGAUGUCGGAUUAGCUAGUUGGCGGGGUAAAGGCCCACCAAGGCGACGAUCCGUAGCUGGUCUGAGAGGAUGAUCAGCCACACUGGAACUGAGACACGGUCAAGACGCCUACGGGAGGCAGCAGUGGGGAAUAUUGGACAAUGGGGGCAAGCAUGAUCCAGCCAUACCGCGUGGGUGAAGAAGGCCUUCGGGUUGUAAAGCCCUUUUGUUGGGAAAGAAAAGCAGCAGGUUAAUACCCCGCUGUUCUGACGGUACCCAAAGAAUAAGCACCGGCUAACUUCGUG